This is a long non-coding RNA of Anopheles arabiensis, 3195 nucleotides long. RefSeq lists it as uncharacterized. The record is from RefSeq and is a predicted model, not a curated record. The transcript has 2 exons. NCBI's taxonomy places the organism in Eukaryota, Metazoa, Arthropoda, Insecta, Diptera, Culicidae.
UGUUGUUCCGGCUGGUCAAGUAGUGCCGAACUACUUGUAAAGCUGAAACGAAUGCCUAGAGUGUUGGUUUUACCUCCCUAGAGGCUGGAUGCGUGUAGUCAGUGCGCAAUGGAGAGCUCACGUUGUGCUGGAUCGCUAACGAUCGUGACGAAUGCAAUUUCAUUCAUAAAAAUCCUAGUUCUUGAAACCAGUAGCCAGACAUAGUUAGAAGACAUUGUCACGCGAUGUAAGACACAGACCGCGUUCACAAUACAGGAAGAAUGUCUGGACCGGUUGAUCGAGUGGACAAAACAAGUUUUAAGGUAGGGAGCACUUUGGGAACCGAGCACGAAACAUGGAGUCGGCGACUGUUGGUGAGGCAUGUGAAUGAUUUCAUUUCGGUGGUGACUCGCGGUGACUGCAAUGGAGCAGAAAACACUCCGAGUACGCCCCAAGUCGGAGGAAGUACUCGACGAACAUUAAGAAGUCAAGAUGGUCAGCGAAGAUGUGUGAUGAGUAAACUGUAAGUGACACUCUCGAGAUUGUAUUGUUUUCGGGGCUUGGUACCGGGCUGCUGCAAACGUAACGGAAAUGCAAUCUGUAUGCAUCAUGCCGUUGCCGUGGGAGUGCCGAAGAUGAUGGGUCACUUUCAGAAAAGCGGAUUUCAGGUUGGUGCUAAUCAUUCAGACGCAGAAUCAUUCCUUUUUCAUAUUGUUCGUAUCGUUAAGCAAACUAAUCUCCUUCAAUGAACCGCAACACACCUAAUUCAAUAGGUGCCAAUCCGUGCCCUGGCAUGGCUGGUAUCGCAUGAAUGUUUGAUAGGUUUCCCACAAAACGACAAAACGGACGUUUACCCCAGUGCCUCACGGGCAAAGAUUAUCACUUUCGUUUGAUAAAUACCACCCUUGGGUCAACAGAACACAACAGCAAACGGACCGUUCCUUCCGGUAGUGUCGCUCGCUGGACACGGCAGGGUCUCGGCAAAGACGACACUCAUUAUUGGCCGCUUGUUGAUGUCGUUGCAUUUCGGCACGCUCAUGUUGCGAUAAGUGCAACCCGUUCGAGACCCUCACUGACUGCCCAUUCUUGCCACCCUCAUUGGACCUCCCCUAGAUCGGCUAGAUUCAAUGCCAAUGUCAUGGUCCCUGAAGUCACGGCGAAGGCGUCAUCGUCAUAUCGCGCCCCGGUACGCGUCCUUCGUCAGGCGUAACAAAGCGUAUGGCCAAACAAAACGGCAGCAGCAGCACCAACUUUAUGAAGAAAUCAAACAAAAAUCGAUUCUAAAUCAAACAGAAAAUGUUGUUUAUCGACAAAUACCGUUCGUAGUUGUUGCUGUUGCUGCUGCUGCUGCUGCUGCUUCAUAUCUCUCGCUCUAUUUGCUCUAGAUCGUACUGAAAUCGUACGAAGUUGUGCCAUUGGAAGUUGAUUGCUGCACGGAGGACGUCGUACAAGUUUCGCUGUUAGAUUACCGAGUCCAAGCUCAAGUCAACCCGACCGGCUCGACUGUUUGGAGCUGGAGCGUCUAGGUCGUCAUCGUCGGUAGUAGCUGUGUUGUGUGCCAGCGAGAAUCAGCGUGGACUUUCCAUCCGGGCACUUUUCAAUCCUUCGAUUGUCCGCUGGCGCCCUCGUUGGACGGGCGUGUACACAGCCAGCCCUAGCGGCACUGAGCCUCCUUUGUUUCCAAGCCCCGGCUGGCCUGGCAGCAAGGCACGACGUGUGGGGCGAUUGUGUGCAGAAUGUCAUAAAUGAAAGUUUCCCUCUGUUUACCUUGCACCAGCCAAAUGGGCUCGAUAAUGUCGGACCAGGCCCCUUAGUUUUCCCUCCACUUUUGUCCUUCCGUUCGCUCCCGCAAACUGCAGCGUGUUGCAGCACCAUCCCUUCUCCGCGCCCGCUCGUCAAGUAACAACAAAAUAAGGAAACGGAGCGGAAAGCAAGACAGGGCCAAGAAGUAACACGAUUUUAAUUAGUACACUCAGCACCCUGCACCCAGGAAACGAUGAGCCGGAAAUGAAUGGGUUCUCUUUUUUUCCUGGUCCGGGUAUGUGCUGCUGCUGCAGUGACCGGUCGUUCAAGGUGUCGGGGAGACCCAUUCAAUCAGCGUUGGAAAAUAUUGAUAAAUCAAGCAUUCGAAAAGUCUGAUUAUGCUGGCAAACACAGCGGCAACCGGCGAGCAAGCGAGAAGAGAGCGCCUUGGCGCCCCACCGGAUGGGGUCAAACUGAAUACGUCAAAUUGACAUCAAUCGACGGCACACAGGCACGGCACUCCCGUAGCAAGAAUGGGUGUGAGUGUAUGCGCGCACACGUUGGGUCACGCUCGGUGAAGCUUGUUUCAUCAUGCAAAUUGGUUCCGUUCCAAGCUUUCGUUCGAGCGUUAGACAGACACUCAGGCACAUGGCACUGACGAUAGCGCCAACUUUUGGCGCUUUUCCAAUCGUACCUUUUCCCGUUGUCACUCCUCACGUUACUUCUUCAGGAGCGGGGUUGGCUCAUUUCGAUUUUAUGAUUUUCAGGAUGGUUUUUUUGUUCUUAUUCCCGUGUUCCCGUGUGUCAUGCAUGCCUUUCUUCUCCUAUCACGGCUGUCGCUUGAUCGAAAUGUUUUUUUUUUUUUGGUUGUCCCCCGUACUUCAUUUGCGAUGCGAAUCUCUCAGGCAUGCAGGACGAAGAGUAGUGAUUUGCACAUCAUCGUUCGGGAAGUCGGAACAUUUGUCAAUGUUGCUCGAUGCUGCUGCUGCUCCGAUGAGUGUGAUGAGAAGGAUGAACGCGGUACGACUGUUUGUACAUGGGAAGCAAAUUCAAUCAAUAUACACGUUCGUGCGCUCGACAUGCAAUUUUCGCAGGAACGCAGGUGAAACAGAAAAGUCAGCAUCGAUUGCGCUCAGGCGCAAGGUGGAGAUGAAAACGAAGGACUACCCGGGGUUUGCUCGUCUGCUAGCAUAUGAUUAGUUCCGGGUGUAAUCGUUUGGCAGGUGGAGCUUAGGAUUUGGGUGCGAGAAAGAAUUGGAUGGUGGGAGCAGCACAGUAAAUUGCUUGAUUGCAUGAUGAACUUAGCGAUGUGUGGAUUUAAAUAGAAUACAAAAUCAAACAAAACACGUUGUACGACAUUGCAUCCUCUGUUUUGUUUGUAAAAAGAAUUGUUUUACACAUUUCAAUAUUAUUUUAAACAACACGUACUACGCAACAAAUAAAAAUAUGAAGCAACUGACGCUAAUGACAAAU